UGCCAGCCGCCGCGGUAAUACGAAGGUCCCAAGCGUUGUUCGGAUUUACUGGGCGUAAAGAGUACGUAGGCGGCAUGGUAAGUCAGAUGUGAAAGCCCGGGGCUCAACCUCGGAACUGCAUCCGAUACUGCCUUGCUAGAGUAGUGGAGGGGAGUCUGGAAUUCACGGUGUAGCAGUGAAAUCCGUAGAUAUUCGGAGGAACACCAGUGGCGAAGGCGGCUUUCUGGACCGAUACUGACGCUGAGACGCGAAAGCGUGGGGAGCAAACAGGAUUAGAUA
RNAcentral lists this ribosomal RNA (279 nucleotides) under uncultured bacterium. Its description in RNAcentral is "partial 16S ribosomal RNA". It matches the Rfam family "Bacterial small subunit ribosomal RNA", at positions 506 to 784 of the family's 1533-position model. The record is from RNAcentral.